RNAcentral lists this ribosomal RNA (407 nucleotides) under uncultured bacterium. RNAcentral's name for it is "bacterial SSU rRNA". It matches the Rfam family "Bacterial small subunit ribosomal RNA", at positions 8 to 429 of the family's 1533-position model. The record is from RNAcentral.
AGAGUUUGAUCCUGGCUCAGAAUCAACGCUGGCGGCGUGCCUAACACAUGCAAGUCGAACGAGAAAGUGGAGCAAUCCAUGAGUAAAGUGGCGCACGGGUGAGUAACACGUGACUAACCUACCCUUGAGUGGGGAAUAACUUCGGGAAACCGAGGCUAAUACCGCAUAACACCUACGGGUCAAAGGAGCAAUUCGCUUAAGGAGGGGGUCGCGGCAGAUUAGUUAGUUGGCGGGGUAAUGGCCCACCAAGACGGUGAUCUGUAUCCGGCCUGAGAGGGCGCACGGACACACUGGAACUGAAACACGGUCCAGACUCCUACGGGAGGCAGCAGUGGGGAAUUUUGCGCAAUGGGGGAAACCCUGACGCAGCAACGCCGCGUGGAGGAUGAAGUCCCUUGGGACGUAAA